UGUGAGAUUGAUGAGUUGCACACUGGUGGAGCCUUGAUAUCAGGUGAUACAGGCACCACUCAGUACCACCCUGGUGACAAAAUCAAGUGCACAGGGGCCAUCUGACUCACA
RNAcentral lists this small nucleolar RNA (111 nucleotides) under Carlito syrichta (Philippine tarsier). RNAcentral describes it as "Small nucleolar RNA SNORD67 (ENSTSYG00000021280.2)". It matches the Rfam family "Small nucleolar RNA SNORD67". From Rfam's summary of the family: snoRNA HBII-166 belongs to the C/D family of snoRNAs. Lineage: Eukaryota; Metazoa; Chordata; Mammalia; Primates; Tarsiidae. The record is from Rfam by way of RNAcentral.